UUCUUUGUUGUAUCAAAUAGACAUGAGAUAAGUGCAAGGAUAGUAUGUCUGAACCGAAUGUACCAUUGAAUCAUAUCAUCAAAGUACUUUAUAUCAUCCGUUGUGUUCUGCUUGCAUCGAUGGAUGAUCCCUAAAACAUGUUCCAAACAGGAAAUGGUGUAAAGAUGUUUGUUUGCCAAGGCAAAAAGACAUUUCUAUCCUUCAUUCCUGGUAAACAUGACGGAGUUUCUCUUUGGGUCAAUCUUCCCCAUCUGCAUCAUGUUGAGAUCACUAGCAGAGCCAACAGGAGAUAUGGUAGGCUUUUUCUUGAACACACUCGCUAUCUCCUGAUCCAUCAGAGCAACUUCCAUGAUAUAGCAUACAAGCACCCUCUUAAAGUGGUCAAUGAUCGGACCAUAUUCUGCUUCGUUUGUAAGAAGGAUGUUGUGCAAGAUAAUCCAGUCAUGGGGAUUAAUGUUGGGAAG
This 464-nucleotide long non-coding RNA is filed under the name Lactuca sativa (garden lettuce). RNAcentral describes it as "long non-coding RNA (LSAT_LNC008846)". Lineage: Eukaryota; Viridiplantae; Streptophyta; Magnoliopsida; Asterales; Asteraceae. The record is from RNAcentral.